RNAcentral lists this ribosomal RNA (253 nucleotides) under uncultured bacterium. Its description in RNAcentral is "partial 16S ribosomal RNA". It matches the Rfam family "Bacterial small subunit ribosomal RNA", at positions 524 to 776 of the family's 1533-position model. The record is from RNAcentral.
UACAGAGGAGCCAAGCGUUGUCCGGAUUGACUGGGCGUAAAGCGCACGCAGGCGGACGCGCGCGUGGGGUGUGAAAUCUGGCCGCUUAACGGCCAGGCGCCAUCCCAUACGGCGCGUCUGGAGUGAUGCAGAGGUCGAUGGAAUUGCCGGUGUAGUGGUGAAAUGCGUAGAGAUCGGCAGGAACACCCAGGGGGAAACCAGUCGACUGGGCAUCUACUGACGCUGAGGAGCGAAAGCGUGGGGAGCGAACAGG